This 499-nucleotide ribosomal RNA is filed under the name uncultured bacterium. Its description in RNAcentral is "partial 16S ribosomal RNA". It matches the Rfam family "Bacterial small subunit ribosomal RNA", at positions 28 to 507 of the family's 1533-position model. The record is from RNAcentral.
GACGAACGCUGGCGGCGUGCCUAAUACAUGCAAGUCGAGCGAAGUUUUUCUGAUGCUUGCACUAGAAAAACUUAGCGGCGAACGGGUGAGUAACACGUAAAGAACCUGCCUCAUAGACUGGGACAACUAUUGGAAACGAUAGCUAAUACCGGAUAACAGUAUUUCUCGCAUGAGAGAUAUUUAAAAGUUGGUUAUGCUAACACUAUGAGAUGGCUUUGCGGUGCAUUAGCUAGUUGGUGGGGUAAAGGCCCACCAAGGCGACGAGGCAUAGCCGACCUGAGCGGGUGAUCGGCCACACUGGGACUGAGACCCGGCCCAAACUCCUACGGGAGGCAGCAGUAGGGAAUCUUCCGCAAUGGGCGAAAGCCUGACGGAGCAACGCCGCGUGAGUGAAGAAGGAUUUCGGUUCGUAAAGCUCUGUUGUUAGGGAAGAAUGGAUAUGUAGUAACUAUACAUGUAAGAGACGGUACCUAACCAGAAAGCCACGGCUAACUACGUG